GCGUGUGUGAUGAAGGCCUUAGGGUUGUAAAGCACUUUCGCCGAUGACGAUGAUGACGGUAGUCGGAUAAGAAGCCCCGGCUAACUCCGUGCCAGCAGCCGCGGUAAUACGGAGGGGGCGAGCGUUGUUCGGAAUUACUGGGCGUAAAGGGCGCGUAGGCGGCCAUGUCAGUUGGGAGUGAAAGCCCCGGGCUCAACCUGGGAACUGCUCUCAAUACUGCGUGGCUUGAGAACGGGAGAGGGUAGUGGAAUUCCCAGUGUAGAGGUGAAAUUCGU
RNAcentral lists this ribosomal RNA (275 nucleotides) under uncultured bacterium. RNAcentral describes it as "partial 16S ribosomal RNA". It matches the Rfam family "Bacterial small subunit ribosomal RNA", at positions 399 to 691 of the family's 1533-position model. The record is from RNAcentral.